This 293-nucleotide ribosomal RNA is filed under the name uncultured bacterium. RNAcentral's name for it is "partial 16S ribosomal RNA". It matches the Rfam family "Bacterial small subunit ribosomal RNA", at positions 775 to 1067 of the family's 1533-position model. The record is from RNAcentral.
GGAUUAGAUACCCUGGUAGUCCACGCCGUAAACGAUGUCUACUAGUUGUCGGUUGUCUUGUACGACGGGUAACGCAGCUAACGCGAUAAGUAGACCGCCUGGGGAGUACGGCCGCAAGGUUAAAACUCAAAUGAAUUGACGGGGGCCCGCACAAGCGGUGGAGCAUGUGGUUUAAUUCGAAGCAACGCGAAGAACCUUACCUACUCUUGACAUCCUGCGAACUUGGUAGAGAUACCUUGGUGCCUUCGGGAACGCAGUGACAGGUGCUGCAUGGCUGUCGUCAGCUCGUGCCG